Molecule: ribosomal RNA, 251 nt
Filed under: uncultured prokaryote
Description: partial 16S rRNA
Rfam family: Bacterial small subunit ribosomal RNA
Source: RNAcentral
ACGGAGGAUGCAAGCGUUAUCCGGAUUUAUUGGGUUUAAAGGGUGCGCAGGCGGAAUGAUAAGUCAGUGGUGAAAUCCUACGGCUCAACUGUAGAACUGCCAUUGAUACUGUUGUUCUUGAGUACACUUGGAGUGGGCGGAAUGUGUCAUGUAGCGGUGAAAUGCUUAGAUAUGACACGGAACACCAAUGGCGAAGGCAGCUUACUGGGUUGUAACUGACGCUCAGGCGCGAAAGCGUGGGGAUCAAACAG